GACCGAGUUGGAGAUACAGUUGCAGGUUGCGAUAGUGAAGUACAUAAUUCUGUUUGUUUUCUAAAGUGGUGCGGACUUGGAGAGAGCGGUGUUCUUGCAGUCGAAGAUGGUGUAGAUAGCUGACUGUAGCUGUGCUCGUUCUGAAGUUGUGAAGUGCUGAGAAGUCCUGUUGUAUGAUCUACAUUGCUUGUUGAAGAGGAGCUUUGGGUGUCGCUGCUUGGAGGUCGAAAGACAAUCAACGUCUGAGAGGGAAAUAUGUUGGUGCGCAAUUAAUACAACUUGUUUGAAUGUGGGCUUACAUCAACAACAGCAAGACUUUGCGAUCGACACUCUACUCUGUCAAAUGGAUAUUUAGCUGUGCUGUUUUUCAACAACUCUGCAUGGGCUACAAUAAGAGCUGGAUUGACUCUUACCUUCUUUGCUAUUGGCUUUUCGCUUGAUUUACAAUUUGCUGUGUGGGGGAAGUCACGUUCAAUGUCAAGUCACUGCUCUCUGCGGAAGCCUUAUGAGGGUCUGUAUCCAUGAUACAAUCGUGAUCUUUUUGAGAUGGGAGAUCCAUCUGGCAACCAUAGCAAAGUUGUCUAGUCACCAUACCCAUAACCUCACACAGUGCCUUCGCAUAUACAAAGUCAAAGUACGAAUUCAUUAGCGCGACACUUGUAGAAACUGGAGUAUAAAUCUCUGUAGUGUCCGUAACAUUCG
Molecule: long non-coding RNA, 702 nt
Organism: Mya arenaria
Lineage: Eukaryota; Metazoa; Mollusca; Bivalvia; Myida; Myidae
Exons: 6
Source: RefSeq, a predicted model, not a curated record